This is a non-coding RNA of Misgurnus anguillicaudatus (oriental weatherfish), 391 nucleotides long. The record is from RefSeq and is a predicted model, not a curated record. NCBI's taxonomy places the organism in Eukaryota, Metazoa, Chordata, Actinopteri, Cypriniformes, Cobitidae.
GGUGCGAUUACUCAAACAUCAACAUCACAACUGGGUUCUGGUUCAGUCAGAAACAGAGAACAAACUGGAGAAACAAAGAUGAACCUGAAGAUUUGACUUUAGAUUCAGAUUACUCAGGACGAGUGUGUCAGAGGAUCACAAAAGAUUACUCAAAGCUAAUAAUAUCAGAUGUGAUAGAGAGAGACAGUGGAGAAUAUCAGCUCAUGGUCAUUAUGAAGGAUGGAGUUAAACAUCUCAGCUCAGUCACAGUCAAUCUAACAGUUUCAGUUUUACAGGUGAAGAUGAAUCCUGAAUCUACAGGACAGCGAGUAAACCUGAGCUGUGAUUCCUCCUGCCCUUUAACAUCUGAAUAUAAUUACUACUGGUACAAGAAUGGACAACAUUUUAAAAA